This 166-nucleotide ribosomal RNA is filed under the name Tomentella sublilacina. RNAcentral describes it as "partial 28S ribosomal RNA". It matches the Rfam family "Eukaryotic large subunit ribosomal RNA", at positions 1 to 162 of the family's 3401-position model. The record is from RNAcentral. Lineage: Eukaryota; Fungi; Basidiomycota; Agaricomycetes; Thelephorales; Thelephoraceae.
UCGAUCUCAAAUCAGGUAGGACUACCCGCUGAACUUAAGCAUAUCAAUAAGCGGAGGAAAAGAAACUAACAAGGAUUCCCCUAGUAACUGCGAGUGAAGCGGGAAGAGCUCAAAUUUAAAAUCUGGCGUGCCUCUGGUCGUCCGAGUUGUAGUCUAGAGAAGUGUU